UCUCAGCUGCAGAAAAUGUACAAAAGAAUGUGGGAGUUCCCAACUGUCUGAUCAUGGCAAAAAGGAAGCGUUGUCGUGGCAACGUGAUGAUGGAUGAAAGCUUCUGAAUGUCGGGCCUGCAGACAGAAGGCAGCAACUCCCAAUGAAUCCACUUCCUCCUUAUAGAUGGCUUUGUUUUAUUUCAGUAUGAACAAAGUGAAACAACUAAACACACAAAUACACUGAAUGUUUGAAAUAAUGUACGUUUAUACAGGAAAUUGUUAUUACAGAUUUCUAGAGUACUGCUACCAAAACAAAGCUUUGGGUACAAACCAGCGGAGCUCCAAAGCAACAACGAUCAGGAAAUUAACUAUUCCUUUUAUAUGAUAUAGACUUUUACUACAAUUGUUUUUAUGUAAAGUAACAAGGGAGCAACUUUCUUGAAUUAUGUUAAUGUAAUGAUUUACUCGAAAUAUAUAUUUGAAAAUGUACCAUUCAAUUCUAAAUGAUAAAAGGUACUUUUUAUCAAUUACAACAAAAUAUGUAGGUUAUGUGUGGUUUCUUUCAGUUUCUGAAUUAACUUUUCAGUUUUGUUUAACCAAUGUGUUGGGAAAAAGUCUCGGAAAUAGUAUAAAUGCUUUGUCCGAGUUGCAAAAACAGCAAUAGUGUUCUAGAGAUAAGUGUAUAAGUUGUAGAUAGGAGAGGUAAGAGGUGAGGGUGAGAGAAGAGAGUCUCUCAGAGUAUUCAAGUCAGAUAGAUUAGGUACCAGUAACCCAAGUCGAGCCAACAGAGCUUAGUCCAAAAUUCAGUUCAGUUCAGAGAAAGGUUUCCAGAGUUUGUUCCAUUCCAUUGCCAAAGAUUACCAACGUGAGAGUGGGAUAGAGGGGGACACAAAGUGUGAGUUGCCAUAUGCAAAAGACAGAGCGGUAGAUGUGACAGGAUAGAUAGAGAGCCAACUUGUAGACAGAGUGGAUACAAGGUACAGGAUAGAUAGAGAGCCAACUUGUAGACAGAGUGGAUACAAGGUAUAGGAGAGAUAGAGAGCCAACGUGAUAGAGGAGAGAUGCUGCACAGCAGGACACCUGGAAGACACAAUACAAAGACACUUUAGACAGCAGUUUGAAGAUCAAUUUAAGGAACAUCUAAAUGACCAGAAUAUCAACCAUUCUACCUCGAUAAUACCUCACUUAUUUAUAUGAAAAACAAUGUUGACCAUAAAUGGAUCAUUGAGUAGACUGGUUCAGAUGUCUCACAGCUUGCGUCUCUCUCCCAAGUUGUUUCACAGCGUCGCUGCUGCCACCUCUCCUUUUACAGGGUUUGCCUUUCAUGAUUACCAGUUUUCAUUUUAUUCUGAAGUAUUGUUUAUAUAAAUCAUCUUAUUUAUUUUAAAUAUAAAAUGUUUUAUUUAUUUUAAAUAUAAAAUGUUUAAGAAGCAUUGGAGUUUAUUCAUAAGAUGUUAACAAUCCACAAUUAAAAGAUGAUACUCUGAAUUCAUGGAGCCGUGAGAGUCACUGCCUUCUUGUGUUCACUGUUCUGAAACUAUUUCAGAAUAAAAGCCUUUUGUUAAUAAGGGGAUUCCUGGACAGGAAUCUCGAAAAGAGACUCAGACUCACACAGGAGGUGCGGCUUGGAGUUUUUCAUAACAACUUCACCAUGUGUUUUAACAAAGUGUAUUCAGUUUUCACUCAUGUGUGAACUUACUGUGAAGUCACCAGCAGUGAUGGUCUGUAGUUAAAGACAGAGAGGAAACAAGAAGAGUCGGGAGAGAAAUACAUUACAUUUACAUUCUUCUCAGAAAACCAGUGCAUCACAUCCCAUUUGACUCCAGAACUGUUCUUACGGUCGGGUGAUUAUUGUUACGUACAGAUAAGACAGAUUAUUAUGAUGGGAGGACAUUUAAAAGCCAAUGUAAUAUCAAUUUACUUAUAGCAUUAACAUUAACAAUGUGUAUGAACUUACACUUCAGAGUCAGCCUGCAGGAGAGGAAGGAGGUGAGGGAUGAAAAGAGAGAAAAAGACAUUUUCAAUUCACUUCAGAAAACCAACCUAAAGCUCAUUUUAAGUACUUUCAGGUUCCUUAUUUAUUAUCAAUGUAUAAUUUAAAAUGGACAUAGAAGUGUGUGUGUGACUGUGGGGAUACCGACUGUUGUCAACAACAUACAAUCGUAUCCCUUCAAUAUGUGUUAUUGCCUGUCAAGGACUUUAAGAAAUGCAGCUGGUUCUAUAGCAUAGGACACAACAUUAACGCUGCCACCAUCAAUUAUUAGUUACAGAUUAUGCAAGCUUUUUAAAUGUUAAUGUUUUCUGAUUGAACAGAUCGGAUUUCUGGCUAAAACAAUACAUCCACAAUAGAAA
Long non-coding RNA from Gasterosteus aculeatus aculeatus (three-spined stickleback), 2333 nucleotides. Lineage: Eukaryota; Metazoa; Chordata; Actinopteri; Perciformes; Gasterosteidae. The record is from Ensembl.